CGACCAUGGUUUCCCCACCUUCUCCUCCUCCCUCCCCUCCCUUCCCCUCUCCUCAUGACAGAAGAGAAGUAAGACGGACACGAGGGAGGGAUCCCGUCCGGCGACGACCCUCCUCGCUGGAUCCAGUGUCGCCACGCCAUGCCAAUUAAUGACGAGAGUGAGAUAGGCAGCACGAGACAACGCUGACACCGGCCGCGAUGAGGAGGCACAUGCUCUAGCUCAUCGCUUGUGCGGUGCGCACCUCCGCUUCUCAUCCUCAUCCUCAGCACCAUCUACAUCGGGUCAGCACGAACCCCCGACCAUCCCAAAUUUGUCGUUGCUCCGUUGUUCCCCUUCUGUCUCUAUAGCAGUCGAUGGAUGUGUUUUUGUGCGUGGCUUCUUCACGUGAUAGGUCGCCGCGCUGAGAGCGUUGACAGGUUUCUUCUGGCUCGAAACUGCCACAGGCGCGUGUGCGGCUGCCUGUGCGGUGCAGGGCGGUUUGAAGUCUACGACGGCCCUGGGUGCAGGUGUCUCUACUUCUUCUGGUGCGGCGGGGGGCGGCUCGAAGCCUGCAGCGGUGGCAUCGGGUUCUGAUGGCAGUGGCCAUCGCGGCGGGCGGGAUGGGAAGUCGCAGCAAGGGGACUCCGGAAGUCUGUCCGAGGAGGGGUAGGUCGUUUCAGGCCCCUCCAUUUUUUUACUUGUACUCUUUGUUGUGUGAUGCAGAUUCUGAAUUUUACCUAGAAAUGCAUGUGUCAUUGUCCAAUUGACUUAUUAGUUUAUUACUGUUGCAUGAGGUGUUUCUAUUUGUAAUUAAUUGGCAUCUAUUUCAUCUAGAUGAGUGACUGGAUUUUAGACUUCAGUACUACUGAGUGCCGACGAAGCAGAACUUUGUUUUUAUGUGUCGUCCGUGGAUUCUACCCACUGCUUGUGUGUAUUACUAUUCUCCUAGUAGUAUUACAUACAACUCUGUCCCCGUAGAUGAACUUAUUACUGAUUUGCAUAACAAUUAGGAUUCCCCGCUCAAUCAAGGAGCUAGGUGUAACUAAAAAUUUCAUGCCAAUUGUCUCACAUAACCUAUACGCAAUCGGUCGGCUUAGGGAAUUUUACCAUGAUUUAACACAUGCGAAACCUGAAUAUCUCUAUGAAAUGAAGCAUCUUCCACAUCUGCUUGGAAAAAGGUCUGGCUAGCUUUGAUUGGACACCAAUCGAAUUGUAUUUUUUAGUAAACAAAGAUUGUCAAAGUUCAGAGACUUGCAAAUGACAGUAAGAUGGGUGAUUUCUUCGUAAUAUUUUGUAUGGUCAUCUUAUACAUACAGAGAUUUUAUAUGCACUGCUACCUGAUGAUCUAUACGUUUCACAUAUUUGUUCUAUCUUUGAAGCUCUACAAUAUUUUAUAGAUAUCAACAGGACCUCCUGGUGGUUACCUGCACGCGACAACAACCACGACCAAGAUACGAAAACAUGAACAUCUCCCCGACUUGCUGAAGCUCGACAGGGGCCUUCCCGGAUCGAGGCUAGAUCAGGUCACCGCUACCCCUUAUUCUUUGUUCCAGCACUGUCUUCUUUGUUCCUCACUAUAAAAAUUGAUGCAUGUGCCCUAUUCUAAAGUGUAAAAUCAUCGAUAGCUUGUACUAUCCACCUGUUGUGUUAACUUGCAGUGUGCUGGUACUAAUCAUUUGCAAAAAAUAUCUCAGUUUCCGCUGUUAUGAGAAUGUUAUAUGCAUGGUUUCCGGUUAAAUCUAAAGUUCUGCAACAAAUUUUAAUCGUUAUGAGAAUUUUAUAUUCACAGAUUCACUUGAUUAUGUUACUAACUUCUCAUAAUUUAUUAUUUGCAGAUGUUGGCCUUCAUUCUUUAAAAGUUGGGUGUACAAGAGCUUUAGGAAGAAAAAUCCCGAAGAAAACCCACUCCCACCAAUGCGUUUUAGCUCACUAUAGCUAGUUAUGUGUAUAUUUAGUUGUAUUUUAUAGAUGAAUACCAGAUUUGUAUGAUGUAUGAUUGUAAUGUACUUUGCUUGGUUGUUGUAUGAAAUAUUAUGCCUGAUUGGAUCUUUUUGAAUCAUAUUAUCUAAUUGCAUAAAUAUAGAACCAACGUGUGGUACCCAAACAUCAAUCCUGGUAAUUGAUUCCCAUUUUACUAGUGGGUCCUACUUUAAAAUGGAAAAAAACAAAAGAAAACUAACAAGUGGGCUGGAAAAUCGCUAAGGCCCAAAAAAAUAUGGAUUGUAAAGGAUCGUAGCCCUAAAAAAGGUUGUUGGGCUUCGCCCAU
RNAcentral lists this long non-coding RNA (2245 nucleotides) under Hordeum vulgare. RNAcentral's name for it is "long non-coding RNA (HVUL_LNC011984)". The record is from RNAcentral. Lineage: Eukaryota; Viridiplantae; Streptophyta; Magnoliopsida; Poales; Poaceae.